GAACCUCCUUGCAGCCAUGAAAUAACUACAAGAAGUUACACCACCUGUUUGUUCAGAUAAGACAACACAAGCGGCACCCUACCACAGAUCUAGCCUUUGCCAUGUGACAGAAAACAUGCUAGGGCACUGCUCAGACUAUUCCAGCGUGGUUCAUCAGGAAGGCAAGAGCCUAUUGCAGUCCCUGCUCACCUACCCCUGUCAGCACAAAAUUCCUCACCACCUCCUCAAGACCUUAUUUUAGUCUAUCCAGCAUAGCUUCAGCCAGUCUGUCAAUCAAUCAUUGAAGGAGCUGCAAGUUCUUUAGUAUGGUCAAGAAUCUACUGAAGAGGAAACAGAUCUCUAAGAUGGAGAGAAAACAUUCAAGAGUUUCAGCAAAGGUCAUGCCUGCUUGAGAGGGACAAAAAUUGAGAAUGUUUGCCAGCAGCCCAUUAUGAGACUGGAAGUUUCCUAAGCUUGAUGUUCUUCAGCUAUAACAUAGAUCGACCUUCACCAGGGCCUGCCUUCGUAUCACCUAUAUGGGACUUUGGGGGCAAGGGGAGCUGGUGCAAAGUGCACAAUGCCUGCUGUGCAGGUCCUUCAACAGUGAUCUGGCUAAUUAAGAAAGCUUGGUGACAGCAAUAGGGCCUCUAAUGGCACUAGUGAAGGAGGUUGAAUGUCCCAGAUGGUCCAGCUAUGAGAUGUCAGAGCUAACACAACCUAAGUCUUUGAAAUGGGUUCCAGCUCUAUCCAGGAGAACAUAAGAGAGGGCAGCCGCCAUCUUCUGUGGCCAUAGCACCCUGAAUGCGACCAAUCUCGUCUGAUCUCGGAAGCUAAGGUCCUUUUUCUUGGCCAUAAUGGCUGGUAAAGAAGUCAUCUUGUGCCAUGGUCAUACACCUAACUCUCCUUCAGGACUAUACCAGGCAGCCAUAAUCUAUAGGUCUGGAGAGAGAAAUGAAUGAUGGUACCAAUGUAGCUCCUACCAAGUAUCCUAAUCAUUUCCCUGAAACUUAAGAAAUGAUCCAGAAACACUCAACAAGAAUUCAUUUCCAUGUAAAAUGGAAAAUUGAGAUGAUCACCCAGGCAAAACAAUUUUGGCCAUAGAUGAACCUUUUUA
Lemur catta (Ring-tailed lemur) is the source of this 1093-nucleotide long non-coding RNA. RefSeq lists it as uncharacterized. The record is from RefSeq and is a predicted model, not a curated record. Lineage: Eukaryota; Metazoa; Chordata; Mammalia; Primates; Lemuridae. The transcript has 8 exons.